This 303-nucleotide ribosomal RNA is filed under the name uncultured bacterium. RNAcentral's name for it is "partial 16S ribosomal RNA". It matches the Rfam family "Bacterial small subunit ribosomal RNA", at positions 507 to 807 of the family's 1533-position model. The record is from RNAcentral.
AGCAGUAGCCGCGGGAAUACAGAGGGUGCGAGCGUUAAUCGGAUUUACUGGGCGUAAAGCGUGCGUAGGCGGCUUCUUAAGUCGGAUGUGAAAUCCCUGAGCUUAACUUAGGAAUUGCAUUCGAUACUGGGAAGCUAGAGUAUGGGAGAGGAUGGUAGAAUUCCAGGUGUAGCGGUGAAAUGCGUAGAGAUCUGGAGGAAUACCGAUGGCGAAGGCAGCCAUCUGGACAAAGACUGACGCUCAGGUGCGAAAGCGUGGGGAGCAAACAGGAUUAGAUACCCCAGUAGUCCCUGUCUCUUAUAC